GCAAGUCGAGCGAGAAGAUUUUGAUUGAUCCUUCGGGUGAAAGAUAAGUUGGAAAGCGGCGGACGGGUGAGUAACGCGUGGGUAACCUGCCCUGUACAGAGGAAUAGCCAUUGGAAACGAUGAUUAAUGCCUCAUAAGACUACGAGACCGCAUGGUUUUGUAGUAAAAACUCCGGUGGUACAGGAUGGACCCGCGUUAGAUUAGCUAGUUGGUGAGGUAAUGGCUCACCAAGGCGACGAUCUAUAGCCGACCUGAGAGGGUGAUC
This 265-nucleotide ribosomal RNA is filed under the name uncultured bacterium. Its description in RNAcentral is "partial 16S ribosomal RNA". It matches the Rfam family "Bacterial small subunit ribosomal RNA", at positions 57 to 305 of the family's 1533-position model. The record is from RNAcentral.